AAGGAUUUUAAGAACUCUAUCUCAGGAUAAAGACCUGAGGGUCACAAGAUGUACAUCGCUGGCCCCAGCUGGAUUUUCCCACGGUUAGGUGCCCAUUCCUACCUAAUCAAAGGUCAUGGGUACUCAUAUGUUUUCAAGAGUUUGGAAAAUGAUCUCCCUUGCCAGGUUACCAAUCUUCAAAGGGAGGUCUAUAUUUGGAAGAAAAAGAAAAAAUUUAUGUGCAUUUACCCUGUUUAAUACACUCAUCACACAUAGUAUUUUUGCAACAGCAACAAUAACACUCUUAAUUUAGUAUGUAAUUAUAUAUGUCAUAUACUUAAUAUACAAAAUAUUUUCCUUGCUAACCUAUACGAUUUCAAAUGCCUGGAACAAUAAAUAAUUCAUGUCAUUACUUGAGAGUAUGUAAAUUUUAAUAUGUUAACAUAUACAGGCAAAGUUCUAAAAGCUGCGAUUUUAUGGGAGGCCAAAUUAUGUACAUAUUAGUUUGUCUGAAGACUUGAGCCAAAAGGAAACCAAUACAUUUUGAGCUACAAUAUGGACAUAAUGUCAUGAAGCAGGAAUAUUAUGCUCCAUUUCAGGACACUUCUGCUGACCUGCACCUAGAAUACCCUGCUCUGUGCUGAUGACUCAGAUGUAAGAAUGAUGAAGUGCAUCAGUUGGCAUGCAGAGAACAAUGAGAAAAAGAACUGAGUUGUGGGAAGACAUGAGGAAAGGACAUGAGGCUCUUAAUAACAGCUGCCAAGUACUGCAGUCGGGAAUCUGGAGCAAAGUGAUUCAAUUCUGACCACUGCCUGUGAGUAAACGGGAUUUU
Molecule: long non-coding RNA, 811 nt
Filed under: Pongo abelii (Sumatran orangutan)
Lineage: Eukaryota; Metazoa; Chordata; Mammalia; Primates; Hominidae
Description: lincRNA
Source: RNAcentral